Long non-coding RNA from Oncorhynchus keta (chum salmon), 2595 nucleotides. RefSeq lists it as uncharacterized. NCBI's taxonomy places the organism in Eukaryota, Metazoa, Chordata, Actinopteri, Salmoniformes, Salmonidae. The record is from RefSeq and is a predicted model, not a curated record. The transcript is spliced from 3 exons.
CAGGGUUAGAGGCAGAGAAUCCCAGUGGAAAGAGGGGAACCGGCCAGGCAGAGACAGCAAGGGCGGUUCGUUGCUCCAGAGCCUUUCCGUUCACCUUCCCACUCCUGGGCCAGACUACACUCAAUCAUAUGACCCACUGAAGAGAUGAGACAGACAACGAUGAGACAGCCUAUAAGGGAGGAGGUCAGAGACCUGGCAGUGUGAUGCCAGGACAACAACCUUUCCCUCAAUGUGAGCAAGACAAAGGAGCUGGUAGUGGUCUAUAGGAAAAGGAGGGCCGAACAUGACCCCAUUAACGUCAACAGGGCUGCAGUGGGGGGGUCGAGAGUUUCAAGUUCCUUGGUAUCCACAUCACCAACCAACUAUCAUGGACCAAACACACCAAGACAGUCAUGAAAAGGGCACGACCACCUUUCCCCCUCAGGAGAUUUGGCAUGGGUCCACAGAUCCUCUAAAAAGUUUUACAGCUGCACCAUCAAGAGCAUCUUGAACGGUUGCAUCACUGCCUGCUAUGGCAACUGCUUGGCUUCUGACCGUAAGGCGCUACAAAGGGUAGUGGAUACGACCCAGUACAUCACUGGGGCCAAGCUUCCUGCCAUCCAGUCCUCCACAGCGCUAUUCAGAAUUAAGUGUGGGCAGGCGGUGGAAUCCUGCUUCCAAUAUUGCUGGGAAUUGAGUUCUCCCGUUCUCAUUCCUGCUAUUUCAGUUUUCAAAUAUUUGAUUUUGUGCUGCAUUGGACAUGGGAAUGGGAGAGUCCCUUUUCUCUCAUUUGGUAUAUCUCUACAUAAAUAUCUUUAUUUCUAAACUGUAUGCAUUAUCUAUUUUUGAUUGGACUGUGGCAUCCAACCAGAGUGCCAGUAGGUACAAGGUUUCUAACGAAAACCAUUAUCUUAUUUCUGGAGGAAUUGUAGAGAUAUCUUUUUCCAUAUUUACCUCAACUGUCCGGUGUGAUUUAUUUUUAGGAGGGCGGCAAAACCGCCAAAUUGGCCAAAUUCAUACGAUUUUGUUGUCAUGAUUCGUUUAGACUUCAAGGAUAUCCGUAGAAGACGCAUCUUCGACUACCUCCGGUGGUGGUCCGGAAGACCAAUCAGUUCACAAUGUGUUUUUUGUCUACUCAAAUUGUCUAAUUUGAGCUGCCUCAACACUUCCCACUGGGCACAGACGUCAGUUAAACAUCUAGUUUCGAUUUACAUUUGGUUGAGUUGUCUACUAACGUGAAUUCAAUGUGAAAUCAACAAAACAUUUCACCAUGCCACUUGAUUAAAAGCUCAACGUUGGGUGAAAAAAAAGGCUAAGUUCCCUUACGUUAAUGACAAGUUUCUCGUUGAUUCAAUGUCACCACGUUUCAUUAUUUUUAUGUUGAAAUUCCUUAAAACAACGUUGAUUGAACUAGUUUUUUGUUGUUACAAUUUUAGUGCUCAUCAGCUGUAUUUCACAGCAUGAAAUGUUUUCUGUUCGGCUGAUUUUAUUUGUGAAGUCAAAAUGUUUGUACACUGGUGAUUCCAAUGUCAUCAAAAUAAACUGCUUUUCACUUAAUCAAUUUCUGAUCAAUUCUAAAGCUACUCAACUCCUAUUCUCUUCCACUACACCCUUCAAACUCUACUCAACACAUGUAGGCAUUAUUGUACAGUAUAUACACAGACCAUGUAAAUCAACGUAACCUUUGACUGAUGUUUAAUAGUGUUGUUUUCAAUGUAGCGUUAAGAGACAGUUAUGUAACAUCAGGGCUGUGCAUGAAGAAGGAUACAUCACUUUAGGGUUGCUGUGCAUGAAGAAGGAUACAUCACUUUAGGGUUGCUGUGCAUGAAGAAGGAUACAUCACUUUAGGGUUGCUGUGCAUGAAGAAGGAUACAUCACUUUAGGGUUGCUGUGCAUGAAGAAGGAUACAUCACUUUAGGGUUGCUGUGCAUGAAGAAGGAUACAUCACUUUAGGGUUGCUGUGCAUGAAGAAGGAUACAUCACUUUAGGGUUGCUGUGCAUGAAGAAGGAUACAUCACCUUAGGGUUGCUGUGCAUGAAAAUAAAGAGACAGAUCUAUAACAGUGCUGUUGUGCGUCGUGAAGAGACCGGUUACAAUAACUGUAGGGUUGUGAAAGUGAAAGAGCCUGUUACAUGACAUCUCUUUAGGGUUUUUAUGCAUGAAGAGAUUUAUACUGUAGGGUGGUGUCUGAAGAGACAGGUAGGUUAUAAUAACAGUAUUUGUUGUGCACAUGCAGACAAUUGCUUCUAUAACUGUAGGUUAGUGCACGGAAAAGACAGUUAAUAUGAAAUGGUGUGCAUUCUGAAGAGACAGCAGAGGGGACAGACAGAGGACCCGACCAAGGCUCAGGCUGCCCCGACCCUGCCACUAGGAUGACAGGAGGUCCUGCCAAACUUGGUGCUCCUGGAGUUGCCUGAAGGACCUUUAGAAGUCAGGGCCCUCCUUCUUCAGAGCCUUGUAGUCCAUAUUGACGGCCACCAACUGCGGAGGGAGUGAAUACAUUUAAAUACGUUUUGCUUAAAUUAAAUUAAUCAGUGUGUUUUAAGGAAAGGGAAUACAAACUGGCUGCUUACACACACACACGCGCGCGCACACACACACACACACCACAGAAGG